UUUACUGUGCUGUUAAACUUUCUUCUUACUAAGAAGCCAAGACUCACGGACAAAUGCUCAGAAGUGUAAACACAAAGUGUUCAAAAUGAACACUUUUCUAGGAUCACUGCCUUUGCUGUUCUUAUUGCUUGGAGGAGGCAAUGGAGAUUCGGUGACCCAGACUGAAGGCCAAGUGACCCUCCCAGAAGGGGCUUCGCUGACUGUGAACUGCUCCUAUGAAAGCACCCAGUACCCUGCCCUCUUCUGGUAUGUCCAGUAUUCUGGGGAAAGUCCACAGCUCCUCCUGAGAGCCACGAAAGCCAACGAGAAGGGAAGCAACAGAGGUUUUGAAGCCUUGUACAACAAAGACAGCAGCUCCUUCCACUUGGAGAAAUCCUCAGUGCAAGAGUCCGACUCAGCCAUGUACUACUGUGCUCUGAUGGCUGGGCGAAAAUGCAUUUUGGAGCAGGGACCCAGGUUGUGGUCACUCCAGAUAUCACAGACCCUCAGCCCGCAGUCUACCAGCUGAGAAGCUCGGACUCAAAAUCCAGCAAACUCUCCAUGUGUCUAUUAACUGAUUUUGAUUCUCAAACCAAUGUGUCACAACGUACAGAAUCCGAAACAGUCUUCACAAGCCACACCGUGCUGAACAUGAAGUCCUUAGAUUCCAAGAGCUACGGUGCCUUGGCCUGGAGCCAAAACAGCAGACUUUCAUGUCAAGAUGCCUUCAGUAAUCACACAUUCGUUUCCUCCUCAGAUGCGUCCUGUGAUGCCAAGUUGGUAGAGAAAAGCUUUGAAACAGACAUGAACCUAAACUUUCAAAACCUGUCAGUGAUCGGGCUGCGCCUCCUCCUCCUGAAGGUGGCUGGAUUUAACCUGCUCAUGACACUGCGGCUGUGGUCCAGCUGAGGUCAGCAAGACUGAGAGCCUCGCUCCCUCCGCAAGCCGAGGGGGGCUCCCCACCACCAUGGAGAGGAAGGCUCCUACCCCUUCUCUGCCCUCCCCUACCUACCAAUGUGCUGGCUGGAUCCUACCAGAUCUGUGAUGAAGACUGUGGACAAGCGGACAAACACCGUGGCCACCCCGCGCUCCCUGUCCCCUUUCUGCUGCUUCUCACUGCCUGAAGCUCACAGCAAGGGUUGGGGUGGCCAAAGCUUCUCCAUGCCUUGAAGAGACUCCUUCCCCUCCCCCAGAGCCCGGCCCUACUGUCCCCGUAGAUGAUGGAACAACCCCCUCCCCUACCCCGACUCCCACCAUACCCUGUGGACUCUCUUGGACUCUGGCUCCUGAAGAAUGUUUGUAUUUUUUUCAAUAGUACUCAUAAAGAAGCAUAUUGAUUUUAUCCAGGAUGGGGGGGGGGGAGGGCUUACUAUCUAGACCCUGCCGUGCUGUAUAAUCUGAGCCACGUUGUCAUUCUGUUGCCUGUAACAUAUUAAAAAUGAUUUAGAAGACCA
Molecule: non-coding RNA, 1433 nt
Organism: Oryctolagus cuniculus (rabbit)
Lineage: Eukaryota; Metazoa; Chordata; Mammalia; Lagomorpha; Leporidae
Source: the annotation of a RefSeq genome assembly